RNAcentral lists this ribosomal RNA (401 nucleotides) under uncultured bacterium. Its description in RNAcentral is "bacterial SSU rRNA". It matches the Rfam family "Bacterial small subunit ribosomal RNA", at positions 355 to 773 of the family's 1533-position model. The record is from RNAcentral.
UCGGGAAUUUUGGGCAAUGGGCGAAAGCCUGACCCAGCAACGCCGCGUGAGGGAUGAGGUAUUUCGGUAUGUAAACCUCGAAAGAAUGGGAAGAAUAAAUGACGGUACCAUUUAUAAGCUCCGGCUAACUACGUGCCAGCAGCCGCUGUAAUACGUAGGGAGCAAGCGUUGUUCGGAUUUACUGGGCGUAAAGGGCGCGUAGGCGGCGCGGUAAGUCACUUGUGAAAUCUCUGAACUUAACUCAGAACGGCCAAGUGAUACUGCUGUGCUAGAGUGCGGAAGAGGCAACCGGAAUUCUUGGUGUAGCGGUGAAAUGCGUAGAUAUCAAGAGGAACACCUGAGGCGAAGGCGGGUUGCUGGGCCGACACUGACGCUGAUGCGCGAAAGCCAGGGGAGCAAAC